UGCCAAUCGUGGACUUAUACGCUAGGAAGAGGACAGAGCUGAGUGCAGGGCCGUAAGCAACCUCAAAGGUUUUUCCUGUCCCACAGUGUGAUUUGAGGAACCACAGGUGAUACGAUGUGGCAAUCAAUGCUGGGUUUGGGUCUUUGUUAGUAUGGAGAAUUUUGGAUCUCCUAGGUGCUAUGUGAAGAACGGAAGCGAAGAAGGCUGAAGAAGAUGCUAAAAGCCUGAACCGAGAGCAGUGAGAACCAGCCUCCUCCUGGCCCACCCACUCAAACUAACCAUGUGGCCCUUUCUUCCCUCUAUAUGCUCCUAUAUCAUAAUCUGGCUACCCAGAUAAUUCAAUAUCCAAUAAAUUUACCCAAAUGAUCCAGAUGUGUCACAGCUCCCCCACCUGGGAGUGAAGCAAAACUAAACAAAGGCUCUCUGUCAUUACACUGGACACGUGGAGAAAACAGACCCGCUAGAAAGGGACUCUUUUUAAGUCUUCUGAGUCUCCUGUGCCUAGUGUCUUGACUUUUAAUUUUUAGGGAGCCCUUGGAGUACUUUUGAGUGCUAAUGGGAUCUGACAAGACAUACACAUCCGGAAACUCCACUCCCGCAGCCCCAGGCCCUGCCAAAGCCACCAGGAUAUUCUGUGAAAGGUGUGUUGUUGAAAAUUGAACCCAGGACCUUGUAUAAGCUAUGAAAGAACUCUACCAGUCAGCUGCGUUCCCCUGCCUGGAAUGGUCUCUUGUGGCAGCUGGCGAAGUGAUGAGGAAAUUAAAUGCACAUGGGAGGGAGGCUCGGACUGCAGCUCAGUGGGAGAGGACGUUCCUAACCUGGGUGACGUCCUCGGUUGGACUCUCCAGCGCCACAUUCAACAAAUAAGAAAACCACCAUGUCUUCA
Long non-coding RNA from Meriones unguiculatus (Mongolian gerbil), 886 nucleotides. RefSeq lists it as uncharacterized. The transcript is spliced from 3 exons. The record is from RefSeq and is a predicted model, not a curated record. NCBI's taxonomy places the organism in Eukaryota, Metazoa, Chordata, Mammalia, Rodentia, Muridae.